GAUGAACGCUGGCGGCAUGCCUAACUCAUGCAAGUCGGACGAAGGCUUCGGCCUUAGUGGCGCACGGGUGCGUAACGCGUGGGAAUCUGCCCUCAGGUUCGGAAUAACAGCGAGAAAUUGCUGCUAAUACCGGAUGAUAUCGCGAGAUCAAAGAUUUAUCGCCUGAGGAUGAGCCCGCGUAGGAUUAGCUAGUUGGUGUGGUAAAGGCGCACCAAGGCGACGAUCCUUAGCUGGUCUGAGAGGAUGAUCAGCCACACUGGGACUGAGACACGGCCCAGACUCCUACGGGAGGCAGCAGUGGGGAAUAUUGGACAAUGGGCGAAAGCCUGAUCCAGCAAUGCCGCGUGAGUGAUGAAGGCCUUAGGGUUGUAAAGCUCUUUUACCCGGGAUGAUAAUGACAGUACCGGGAGAAUAAGCUCCGGCUAACUCCGUGCCAGCCGCCGCAGUAA
This 449-nucleotide ribosomal RNA is filed under the name uncultured bacterium. RNAcentral's name for it is "partial 16S ribosomal RNA". It matches the Rfam family "Bacterial small subunit ribosomal RNA", at positions 28 to 523 of the family's 1533-position model. The record is from RNAcentral.